AUGUUUGUUGCAUAUUGUGAUCCAUCGGAACCAUAUGAGCCUAUAACGGAGUGGCAUAGUGAUGCGCAUAGCCAACCUACCAACAUAGAACAAGAUGAUGAUGAUUAUCUUCGCAACCCAGUACCUGAGAAUGAGCAUGUUGGUGUUGAUGAGGAAAAUAUUUAUUUAGAGGAUGAACUUGUACCUCUUAUCAUGGUUCCUUGUUCCAAUAAAGAAAAGGACAAAGACUAUGUUCCUGAUCAUGAGAGCGAGGCUGAGAGCGAGGUUGAGAGCAAGGAUGAGAGCAAGGAUGAGAGCAUGUCAGAGGUUGAAGUAGAGGAAGAUGAGAAAUAUCACGAGGCAGAUCAUGCACCACACAUUGAAUAUAAUAAAUUAGAUCCUCCAAUGAACGAAGGAAGAAAAUAUCCCAAUAUGACAGAGUUUAAAUUGGCGCUUUCUCAGCAUGCAAUCAAACAUGAAUUUGAGUUUGACACCGAAAAGAGUGCACCACAUAGGUUCAGAGCUUAUUGUUCAAAAAGGGAUGAAGAUAAGUGUCCAUGGAGCAUAUAUGCUUCUACAAUGGAAGAUCAUAUGAAAUCUGUGUUUGAAUUCUAA
This 594-nucleotide ribosomal RNA is filed under the name Triticum aestivum (bread wheat). RNAcentral's name for it is "partial small subunit ribosomal RNA". The record is from RNAcentral. Lineage: Eukaryota; Viridiplantae; Streptophyta; Magnoliopsida; Poales; Poaceae.